RNAcentral lists this ribosomal RNA (253 nucleotides) under uncultured bacterium. RNAcentral describes it as "partial 16S ribosomal RNA". It matches the Rfam family "Bacterial small subunit ribosomal RNA", at positions 524 to 776 of the family's 1533-position model. The record is from RNAcentral.
UACGUAGGGGGCUAGCGUUGUCCGGAUUUAUUGGGCGUAAAGAGCGUGUAGGCGGUUAGGUAGGUCCGUUGUGAAAACUCGAGGCUCAACCUCGAGACGCCGAUGGAAACCAUCUGACUAGAGUCCGGAAGAGGAGAGUGGAAUUCCUGGUGUAGCGGUGAAAUGCGCAGAUAUCAGGAAGAACACCCGUGGCGAAAGCGGCUCUCUGGAACGGUACUGACGCUGAGACGCGAAAGCGUGGGGAGCGAACAGG